AUGCAGAACACUUGUGACCCGUAAGAAUUAGAGAGACUGUCAUUUCUCAAAAGACCCAUGAGGGGCAGCAAGAGAAUGGUCUGACUGACCACAGAAGCUGAACCCUGAUAGAACUCUGAUUUUGAACUUCACUUUUGCCCAGAUGGGAAGAAAAACAUGACUUCCUAUAAGCAAGGAAUUUACUUGUCAUGAAUGCACAGCAGGCUGUGGGACUUUCCCCUUGGAAGUACCUCCGAAUGCCAUGAAGAUGGGCUGUGCACCUCUUAGUGAAAAUACGUGCUUCAUCUCCAAAUGGCCAUGAGCAAAACUAUACUGAUGAAUAUGUUAGCUAAAUAAAGAACAAUAUCAUAAAGG
Long non-coding RNA from Zalophus californianus (California sea lion), 354 nucleotides. RefSeq lists it as uncharacterized. Lineage: Eukaryota; Metazoa; Chordata; Mammalia; Carnivora; Otariidae. The record is from RefSeq and is a predicted model, not a curated record. The transcript has 3 exons.